Molecule: ribosomal RNA, 527 nt
Filed under: uncultured bacterium
Lineage: Bacteria
Description: bacterial SSU rRNA
Rfam family: Bacterial small subunit ribosomal RNA
Source: RNAcentral
AAUAGAUACCCCGGUAGUCCAUGCCGUAAACGUUGGGCGCUAGAUGUGGGGACCAUUCCACGGUUUCCGUGUCGCAGCUAACGCAUUAAGCGCCCCGCCUGGGGAGUACGGCCGCAAGGCUAAAACUCAAAGGAAUUGACGGGGGCCCGCACAAGCGGCGGAGCAUGCGGAUUAAUUCGAUGCAACGCGAAGAACCUUACCAAGGCUUGACAUAUACGAGAACGCUCUAGAAAUAGAGAACUCUUUGGACACUCGUAUACAGGUGGUGCAUGGUUGUCGUCAGCUCGUGUCGUGAGAUGUUGGGUUAAGUCCCGCAACGAGCGCAACCCUCGUUCUAUGUUGCCAGCGGUUCGGCCGGGAACUCAUAGGAGACUGCCGGGGUCAACUCGGAGGAAGGUGGGGAUGACGUCAAAUCAUCAUGCCCCUUAUGUCUUGGGCUUCACGCAUGCUACAAUGGCCGGUACAAAGGGCUGCAAUACCGUAAGGUGGAGCGAAUCCCAAAAGCCGGUCUCAGUUCGGAUUGAGGU